This 355-nucleotide unclassified non-coding RNA is filed under the name soil metagenome. RNAcentral describes it as "partial contains 5.8S ribosomal RNA, internal transcribed spacer 2, and large subunit ribosomal RNA". The stretch from base 1 to 120 matches the Rfam family "5.8S ribosomal RNA", at positions 35 to 154 of the family's 154-position model. The record is from RNAcentral.
GAUGAAGAACGCAGUGAAAUGCGAUAAGUAGUGUGAAUUGCAGAAUUCAGUGAAUCAUCGAAUCUUUGAACGCACAUUGCGCCUUCUAGUAUUCUGGGAGGCAUGCCUGUUUGAGCGUCAUUAAACCUCUCUCAAGUAUGAUUACUUGGAUGUGAAGGAAGAGUACCUUAAACUUAAGGAGUGUUCUCCUUUGAAAUUGAUUAGCAGAUGGUAAUGUUAUUAAAUCCCUGAUGUUGUAAGAAAUAACAGUGGUUUUGUAGACUAUUAUCUAGCUUUAAACUAUAAUUUUUAUUAUGGUUGACCUCAAAUCAGGUAAGGAUACCCGCUGAACUUAAGCAUAUCAAUAAGCGGAGGA